RNAcentral lists this ribosomal RNA (254 nucleotides) under uncultured bacterium. RNAcentral's name for it is "partial 16S ribosomal RNA". It matches the Rfam family "Bacterial small subunit ribosomal RNA", at positions 524 to 776 of the family's 1533-position model. The record is from RNAcentral.
UACAGAGGUCCCGAGCGUUGUUCGGAUUCACUGGGCGUAAAGGGUGCGCAGGUGGUUUGGCAAGUUUGAUGUGAAAGCCCCGGGCUUAACCCGGGAAUGGCAUUGAAUACUGCUUGAACUGGAGGGUUGGAGGGGGGACUGGAAUUCUUGGUGUAGCAGUGAAAUGCGUAGAUAUCAAGAGGAACACCAGUGGCGAAGGCGAGUCCCUGGACAAACCCUGACGCUGAGGCACGAAAGCGUGGGGAGCAAACAGG